CGAGGGGCAGCAUUUCAGUUUGCUUGCAAACUGGAGAUGGCGACCGGCGCACGGGUGAGUAACACGUAUCCAACCUGCCGAUAACUCGGGGAUAGCCUUUCGAAAGAAAGAUUAAUACCCGAUAGUAUAAUUAGACCGCAUGGUCUUAUUAUUAAAGAAUUUCGGUUAUCGAUGGGGAUGCGUUCCAUUAGGCAGUUGGUGAGGUAACGGCUCACCAAACCUUCGAUGGAUAGGGGUUCUGAGAGGAAGGUCCCCCACAUUGGAACUGAGACACGGUCCAAACUCCUACGGGAGGCAGCAGUGAGGAAUAUUGGUCAAUGGGCGCAGGCCUGAACCAGCCAAGUAGCGUGAAGGAUGACUGCCCUAUGGGUUGUAAACUUCUUUUAUAUGGGAAUAAAGUUUUCCACGUGUGGAAUUUUGUAUGUACCAUAUGAAUAAGGAUCGGCUAACUCCGUGCCAGCAGCCGCGGUAAUACGGAGGAUCCGAGCGUUAUCCGGAUUUAUUGGAUUUAAAGGGAGCGUAGGUGGACAGUUAAGUCAGUUGUGAAAGUUUGCGGCUCAACCGUAAAAUUGCAGUUGAUACUGGCUGUCUUGAGUACAGUAGAGGUGGGCGGAAUUCGUGGUGUAGCGGUGAAAUGCUUAGAUAUCACGAAGAACUCCGAUUGCGAAGGCAGCUCACUG
Molecule: ribosomal RNA, 680 nt
Filed under: uncultured Bacteroidales bacterium
Lineage: Bacteria; Pseudomonadati; Bacteroidota; Bacteroidia; Bacteroidales
Description: bacterial SSU rRNA
Rfam family: Bacterial small subunit ribosomal RNA
Source: RNAcentral